RNAcentral lists this ribosomal RNA (436 nucleotides) under uncultured bacterium. RNAcentral's name for it is "bacterial SSU rRNA". It matches the Rfam family "Bacterial small subunit ribosomal RNA", at positions 954 to 1392 of the family's 1533-position model. The record is from RNAcentral.
GCAAAACGCGAAGAACCUUACCAGGGCUUAAAUGUAGUCUGACAGGCGUGGAAACAUGCUUUUCUUCGGACAGAUUACAAGGUGCUGCAUGGUUGUCGUCAGCUCGUGCCGUGAGGUGUCAGGUUAAGUCCUAUAACGAGCGCAACCCCUGUUGUUAGUUGCCAGCAAGUAAUGUCGGGAACUCUAGCAAGACUGUCGGUGCAAACCGCGAGGAAGGUGGGGAUGACGUCAAAUCAUCACGGCCCUUACGUCCUGGGCCACACACGUGCUACAAUGGCCAGUACAGAGAGCAGCCACUUGGCGACAAGGAGCGAAUCUAUAAAGCUGGUCACAGUUCGGAUUGGAGUCUGCAACUCGACUCUAUGAAGCUGGAAUCGCUAGUAAUCGGAUAUCAGCCAUGAUCCGGUGAAUACGUUCCCGGGUCUUGUACACACCG